Long non-coding RNA from Passer domesticus (house sparrow), 1373 nucleotides. RefSeq lists it as uncharacterized. NCBI's taxonomy places the organism in Eukaryota, Metazoa, Chordata, Aves, Passeriformes, Passeridae. The transcript is spliced from 2 exons. The record is from RefSeq and is a predicted model, not a curated record.
CUCUGCUCCCUGGAGGAGAGAUUCAGCUCUGCAAAGCCAAUCUUCUUCCCUCCUCAUCCCAAGCCCUGCUCACUUGAUAAAGAAGGAAUUCACUUACCAGGAUGCAGUGUCUGGCAGUGAUACCUCAUUCUGCAACAGAAGUGGUUGAACUACACUGGAAAAUAAGCAAUGAUCGCAAAGAAAGGGAAAUGGAGAAUGUUUUGCGAAUUUGGAUUUGGGGGAAUGAAAUAGAACUUUUGGAGAAGGAAGCACAUGGUGAAAAGCGCUGGUCUUUUGCUCAGGGAACAACUUGUGGUAUGAAACGUUUGGACCCCUUGCAGAGGGGGGAACCCCAUACCAUGCAUGAGAAACAGCUGAUGCCUGUUGACCUUCUUCUGUGUUAUUGUAAGUUAUUUCAACAUACAAGGAUCAAAACUGAGAAAACAAAAUCUUGGCACCACCUCCAAAAAGUUAUUGUUGUUGAUAGAAGGUGGUGGAUUGAAAUAUCCCUAGAGGCUCUCUGGAAAGAAAAUGGGGAUUAAAUGGGGACUCAGUUUCCCUGGAUUCUUAAUGAAGCUUUGCAAACUGCUCCUGCCCUGCCUCCUUCUGGCAGCCCUGGCUAUUGGGCCUUCUCUGCCACCAAAGGCUGGAAGCCAAAAUGCUGCUGCUAGAGCAUAACCCUUAGGAGAAAAUGCUUUUAUCAUCGUGCAAGUUUGUUGUUUUGGUCUCACUAAUAAGCCUGAAUGUUCAAGAAUGUCCUCACUAGUCAGGAGACUGGGUGUACAUCCAGACCCGGAAUGGAGAGCCACUUAACCAGAAGUGGAAAGGACUUUUGAUCCCAUGGCUGUGAGAUUUACAGCUGGACAUUCCUAAAUUAUGUGAUUAAAGUUAGCUCUGGACACAUGGAAUUGUAUUGGACAGUCCAGUAAAUGUAACUCUGCUGCAAAUAAAGCUGCAAUGGACAUUUCUAAAGUGAAAAACAUUAAAUGGUUUCUCUUUCUGCCCAUUUCCAGAGCAGUGUCCCUGGUAUGGCAGCAAGGCUGUUUGUUCCUGAAUUAGUCAACCAUCCUAGCAGGACCGUGUACCUAAUGACUACAAUAGCAAGUAUAGCUUUGAGUGCCAGAGGGAAAAGGAAAGAAGGCCAGAAGUUUCUCUCAAGGAUUAGGUGAAAAGCCACCUCAUGGGACCUCAGGGACUUCACCAAAUACUUGAGGACAUCUAAUUGGAUAGAAGCCAAAAAGUGCCGCUUGAUCCAUCAGGGAGAAAAAGAAGAGAAGAAAAGAGCUAAGUGCUUUUGUGAAGUGUUUUUACCAGGAGCGGACUGCUGCACCUGGCUCGAGUUUUUCUCUUUGUUAUUAUGCCUUUUAUUAAACCUUUUUGUUUCUAACACUGCA